Molecule: transfer RNA, 73 nt
Organism: Culex pipiens (northern house mosquito)
Lineage: Eukaryota; Metazoa; Arthropoda; Insecta; Diptera; Culicidae
Rfam family: tRNA
About the family: Transfer RNA (tRNA) molecules are approximately 80 nucleotides in length. Their secondary structure includes four short double-helical elements and three loops (D, anti-codon, and T loops).
Source: Rfam
GCGGCCGUGGCUGACUGGUUACAGUGUUCGCUUUGUGAGCGAAUGGUUCUGGGUACGAUUCCCAUUUGCCCCC